RNAcentral lists this transfer RNA (73 nucleotides) under Cordylochernes scorpioides. RNAcentral's name for it is "tRNA-Thr". The record is from RNAcentral. Lineage: Eukaryota; Metazoa; Arthropoda; Arachnida; Pseudoscorpiones; Chernetidae.
GUCCAGGGAUGGGAAACGAACCCACAACGUUCCGCUUACCGGGCAGAUGCCAUGUCCACUAAGCUACCCUGGA